CGUAGCCGUAGUAGGUCAGCGCAGGGGUGACACGGAAUGGGAGCCGGCCGCGGAGGUGGUUUUCCGUGGUCAAGCACUCAGCCAGUCAUGUAGGCAAAUCCGCAUGGCGCGCAUGGCGAGGUGUGAUGAUGGGAGCCGUUAUGGCUCGAUAUCCGGUUGUCCAGGCCGUCGAGAAAAGCCUCGGCGUGAGGGCCAUGGCCGCCCGUACCCCAAACCGACACUGGUGGUCAGGUAGAGAAUACCAAGGCGAUCGAGCGAAUCCUGGUCAAGGAACUCGGCAAAUCACUCCCGUGCCUUCGGUAUAAGGGAGACCCGCUGGGGUGAACCGGCUAGCCCGGGGAGCUUUGGUGGGUGGCACAGACCAGGGGGUAGCGACUGUUUACCAAAAACACAGGUGCAUGCGAAGGCGAAAGCCGCUGUAUAUGCACUGACGCCUGCCCGGUGCCGGAAGGUUAAGAGGAUCCGUCAGUCCUUCGGGAUGAAGCGGUGAAUUCAAGCCCCGGUAAACGGCGGUGGUAACUAUAACCAUCCUAAGGUAGCGAAAUUCCUUGUCGGGUAAGUUCCGACCUGCACGAAUGGCGUAACGACUUCCCCACUGUCUCGACCAGGAGCUCGGCGAAAUUGCAGUACGAGUAAAGAUGCUCGUUAAGCGCAGAAGGACGAAAAGACCCCGGGACCUUUACUAUACCUUGGUAUUGGCGUUAGGCGCGGAUUGUGUAGCAUAGGCGGGAGGCUUCGAAGCGUGGGCGCCAGCUCAUGUGGAGCCGCAAGGUGAAAUACCGCUCUGUUCUCGUUUGACGUCUAACCUCGACAAGUCAUCCUUGUCAGGGACAGUGCCUGGCGGGUAGUUCAACUGGGGCGGUUGCCUCCCAAAGAGUAACGGAGGCGCUCAAAGGUCCGCUCAGCCCGGUUGGCAAUCGGGUGUCGAGUGUAAUCGCACAAGCGGGCUUGACUGCGAGGACGACGGUCCGAGCAGGGACGAAAGUCGGAGAUAGUGAUCCGGUGCCGGCGCACGGGCGCGGCAUCGCUCAACGGAUAAAAGGUACCCCGGGGAUAACAGGCUGAUCAUUCCCAAGAGUCCAUAUCGACGGGAUGGUUUGGCACCUCGAUGUCGGCUCGUCGCAUCCUGGGGCUGGAGCAGGUCCCAAGGGUUCGGCUGUUCGCCGAUUAAAGCGGCACGCGAGCUGGGUUCAGAACGUCAUGAGACAGUUUGGUCUCUAUCCUCUGCGCUCGUUGGAAUCCUGAGGAGGCCUGCCCAUAGUACGAGAGGACCUGGGUGGACGAACCUCUGGUAUGCCGGUUGUCGCGCCAGCGGCACGGCCGGUUGGCUACGUUCGGGAGGGAUAACCGCUGAAAGCAUCUAAGCGGGAAGCCUGCUCCAAGAUUAGGAUUCCAUGGAUCUUCGAGAUCCUGUAGCCCGCAUGUUGAACACGUGUUUGAUAGGCCGGAGGUGGAAGCCCCGUGAGGGGUGGAGCCGACCGGUACUAACGGGCGACGGU
RNAcentral lists this ribosomal RNA (1499 nucleotides) under metagenome. RNAcentral describes it as "bacterial LSU rRNA". It matches the Rfam family "Bacterial large subunit ribosomal RNA", at positions 1449 to 2925 of the family's 2925-position model. The record is from RNAcentral.